This 123-nucleotide small nucleolar RNA is filed under the name Mus pahari (shrew mouse). RNAcentral describes it as "predicted gene, 24069 (MGP_PahariEiJ_G0034777.1)". It matches the Rfam family "Small nucleolar RNA SNORA17". Rfam says of the family: snoRNA ACA 17 belongs to the H/ACA family of snoRNAs and is predicted to guide pseudouridylation of the 28S rRNA at positions U4659 and U4598. It shares the same host gene together with ACA43. NB This family has a high threshold value to exclude a large number of closely related sequences that do not appear to have conserved H and ACA boxes, and may be pseudogenes. The record is from RNAcentral. Lineage: Eukaryota; Metazoa; Chordata; Mammalia; Rodentia; Muridae.
AGAGGCAUUGCAGGGGUGACUGCUGUGCCACCUGUGUGUCAGUAGGAGGCAGGGAGGAGAAAGGCUGAGUCUAUGCUUUUUGUUCUGACCUGUGGACAUCUAAAUGAUUAGUAGCCUAACACU